Paramisgurnus dabryanus is the source of this 2790-nucleotide long non-coding RNA. RefSeq lists it as uncharacterized. The record is from RefSeq and is a predicted model, not a curated record. Lineage: Eukaryota; Metazoa; Chordata; Actinopteri; Cypriniformes; Cobitidae.
UAGAUUUAGCAGUACAUUACUGUAAAAAUCCACAGUACUAUACUGUAUGUGUACAUUACAGUACAGUACUGCAGUUCAUAAUGCAUUCUGGGUAAAUUUGUUUGAGCGGGAAAAUUUUACAGUAUAUUUUGGUCUUGAUGUAACCUUGCUGUAGCCAUUGCUGUAAUGUGCCAGGUGUACUUGCAAUAAUCAGAGAAAGUGCGCCAACGUCAAAUCACACAGACAGAGGGAGAGCACAACUCUUGGCUGCAGCUGAAGGAGGACGAUUGAUUUCUGGCAGUUCGGUAAGUUUGAAAUAUUUCUGUUUCAUGAAAACUUAAUUUUUAGUUUAAGAAUGUUGUCAAUAGUUUGUCACAAUAUUGUUUUAAACGUGCAAUGAGAGAGAAAAACGGUCGCCAACAAAGUUUCAAUCUCCCUCAGAAAGUAAGCUUACACACAGAUGUCUACCGCUGCUUUAACUCGCUUUACACCUUUUUUUUAAUGAAUAUAGGGUUGUUUUAACUAAAUUAUGAGGGUUUUGGUGAGUUUAUAUUGUGUUGAAAGUGUGGUGACAAUGAAACUAUUUUUAACGAAAUGGACAAAGACAACCCGCCAGCGCGGUCUUGCGGUCCCAGCAUAAUGGUCGUUUAUCUCGGCGUUUCAUCCGUUCAGUUAGCGUCAGAGAAAAGUAUUAAGUUCGACUGUUUGGCAAGGCUGACUCGUGGUUGUAAACAGUCAGGACUUGUCACACCGUACACAGCAUACUGUAGUACUGAACUCCUCCACAGAAGUGAAAACAAGAAACCUCAUAACUGGAUACAUGCAUCGAACUCAUCGCAGCUUUAACUUCUACCAAAUAUCAUUCAGACCUGGGCUCAUCUUAAUAUCAGAUGAACGAAAGGGAUUGCCGCGCGUAUUGUUGUUGUUAUUAUAUUACGGUAUAUCAUCAAAAGCAGAGAAUAUCUUCUCUAAAGCGUUUUACACGUCCAGUAAGUUGUCCAAUACAUUUUUAUGGCAUAUUGUUUCCACCACUUCAGAUGCAUUACACGCUGUAUAUAAGUUUCCAAAACACAUCAAAUCAAUGCACGAAAAGAGAAUGGGCUCCGCAUUUACGUACCUUUGUCUUCUCGUCUCUGUCAUCUGAUCCUUCAUCUCUGGAUGUAAAAUACGGUAGUCCAUUAUAACAUCGUGUAGGAAACUGGCAUCACCAGGAUUGCUCAGAUUUAGGCGAUCAUGUUUAUCUUUAAAGUGAGCAGCUAGCUACUUGUUAAAAAACUUUGCGUGACAUAGUGUUACACCGCAGCCGGUCCGGGUAAAACAUUAAAGGGACAGUCUUUUUACCUUAUCACUAUAAAUCGCUAUUUUCUGCACUAAACGAGACAUUUUCAGAGAUUUUCUGUAGACAAGAUGUUAUAAUUAAAAAAAGACUUAUUUAGAUAUUUAUAUAUAAUAUAUAAUAUAACAACUAAUAUAUAUAUAUAUAUUUGUUUUACAACUGACUUAACACUUACAGUAAUGUUUUAUUUGUUAGCAUAGCAUGAUAUUAGAUUUAAACACUUAAUACAUUUUUAAAUCAAUCACUUUGUCUCUGCACAAUGAACAUUAUCAAAUAUUAUUAAUGUUGUAAAAUAUAUUGUUCAUUGUUAGUUCAUAUUAGCUAAGGCAUUACCAAAUGUUAAGGAAUAAACUCUUAUAGUAAAGUGUUACUAAAUUUUCUUUUACCAUUUCCUUCACAAUGUCUAUUUAUUUCUAUGGCUAACAGAUUUUGUAACAUUUGUCUUUUUUACAGUCUUACCAUUGCUUGUAAGCUGGAUUGGGUAAGAUGGAUCAUCUUUAAAGGCACCAGGAGUUAAGGCAGAUGUGGAGGCACAACGGGUGAUACCAGACACACACCAAGCACAUUAUGUUCGGACAUUCAAUCAUGACAUGAUCCAGGUGGAUGCUGUCCAUUGAUGAAAGAGUUUGUUCAGCGGUUUCUGGAUAGAAUUAAUUCCAAAGAUGGGAAAAAGUGCACAUCCAGACAAGGAGCAAGCAAAAAGACAAGGAACUUGGUGCAGAGAAAAGCUGUGGCCAUUAACCCCCAUGUGAACAGCUUCAUGCAGUCGCUGAUUGAGUUCGAAUGGACGACUUCAGUAAAGGCCACUGUGGUCUGUCUGCCACAGUUUAAUUUUUAAUUUAUUUUUAGUGUUCAAUGAAAUUCAAGUAGAAUAUUUAAAACUAUGGGCCAGUGUUGUUUUUACCACGGUGAAAUGUUACCUUUUAGUCGAUGAUGGACUUUAAACUGAAAACUUCAAACUAUGGAACAGUGUUCUAUUUGCCAGAGUUAAAUAUGUUACAGCAGGGGUCUCCAAACUUGUUUAUACUUGUUGAUUUUAUUUUAUGUUACUUGAUUAUAUGUUUAUUAUUGUUUAAAAUCUUGUUUUAAAUAUGUUUGUUUCAAUUAAAUGUUUUUUUUAAUAAAAUUUUGAUACAAACAUUGCUUGGAUUGCCUUUUAAUUCAUUAUGUUUUAAUUUAGCAUUUUUACCAUAUUAAUAACUAUAGAUUUAAACCUAAAUCUCUAGCUAUUUUAUAUAAUAUUAUUGUAUUAACUGUAAUAAGUAAUAAAUAGUAUUUAUGGGUCAAUAUAGACAUUACAGUAAAUUACUGUAAAAAUAGACUACUGUAAUAAAAUAUUGUAAAAUUACAGUACAGUACUGCUUUGUAACUAUACAGUACUAGUUUGUGUACUGUAAAAUGGUAUUACAGUACAGUACUGUAAAACCAAAAUACAGUAACUUACUGGCAACCGUGCUGCCAGUACCGUACUGUAA